This 547-nucleotide ribosomal RNA is filed under the name uncultured bacterium. RNAcentral's name for it is "bacterial SSU rRNA". It matches the Rfam family "Bacterial small subunit ribosomal RNA", at positions 773 to 1324 of the family's 1533-position model. The record is from RNAcentral.
ACGGAAUAGAUACCCGGGUAGUCCACGCCCUAAACGAUGUCUACUAGUUGUCGGGGAUUCAUUUCCUUGGUAAACGCAGCUAAACGCGUGAAAGUAGACCGCCUGGGGAGUACGGCCGCAAGGUUAAAACUCAAAGGAAUUGACGGGGACCCGCACAAGCGGUGGAUGAUGUGGAUUAAUUCGAUGCAACGCGAAAAACCUUACCUACGCUUGACAUGCCAGGAACUUUCCAGAGAUGGAUUGGUGCCCGAAAGGGAACCUGGACACAGGUGCUGCAUGGCUGUCGUCAGCUCGUGUCGUGAGAUGUUGGGUUAAGUCCCGCAACGAGCGCAACCCUUAUCCUUAGUUGCUACGCAAGGGCACUCUAGGGAGACUGCCGGUGACAAACCGGAGGAAGUGGGGAUGACGUCAAGUCCUCAUGGCCCUUAUGUGUAGGGCUUCACACGUCAUACAAUGGUCGGUACAGAGGGUCGCCAACCCGCGAGGGGUAGCCAAUCCCAGAAACCGAUCGUAGUCCGGAUUGCAGUCUGCAACUCGACUGCAUGAA